CGUUGAUGUCUUAGAAAGGCACUAAGUAGAACACUUUAAGAAAGGGACAAUGAAGGAACACAAGAACUUACAAAGAAGGCUUUGUAUUGAAUAAGGAUACUCUUUACAACUUCACUCUCUUAAUGACUUCAAAUGAAUCCUAACAAGCUAUUUAUAGUAGUAGCCUCCUCAAAUGGAUGGCUAGGAUCUUUUCUAUCCAAUGGUCUAGAUUACACAUCUAGAAUUAUCUAUACAAAUAUUUACAUUAAAAUAUUUAUGGACUAAACUAGGAUGAUCUAGAAUAAUCCACCAAGUGAGGAGCUUGUAGGCUUCUAGAAUGUCCCACCAUAUUCUAGCAAUCUUCAUGCACUUGUGGGAGUCUAGAAUAUUCCGGUUAGCCUCAAGUCGUCAACAUUUUAAAUUUCUCGAUCUUCUUGUGCCAAAAUCGAGCGAGUCGUGACAUUAUGCUUGCUUACAGUACUGUAUAUGUAACCAUAUAAAAACAGAUGUGCAUACUAAGUUAGAAACCAGUAUCAUCAGUUUAACAAAAUUCGUUGCACAUAUCAAGAAAAACUACUGACCUCUGCAGAUUAUUUGGCAGGUAGAUAAUAAAAACAAGUUGUUCUAUUAACCAUGUGUGCGUUUGGUAAGCUUUAAAAUACGUAACCUUACUUGUAAGUAAAUUUUUAUUUCCAAACAUAUCUGGAUAUAUUGCCUUUUUCCAAGUUUUAAAAAAAAAAAUUAGGAAAGGACAAAAAUAAUUUACCAAUUUCCAACUUUGACGCAAAAAAUUAUUCAUUCUAUGAAUUUCUAAUAAGGUAGAUAAUAAGAACAAGUUGUUCUAUUAACCAUGUGUGCGUUUGGUAAGCUUUAAAAUACGUAACCUUACUUGUAAGUAAAUUUUUAUUUCCAAACAUAUCUGGAUAUAUUGCCUUUUUCCAAGUUUUAAAAAAAAAAUUAGGAAAGGACAAAAAUAAUUUACCAAUUUCCAACUUUGACGCAAAAAAUUAUUCAUUCUAUGAAUUUCUAAUUACUCACAAGUGAACUUAUAAAAGUAAAUAUUUCAAGCUUGGUCAAAACAUGCACCGAGUCUAUUUAGUUGUGGAACUCAAACCUUUAGGGACAUCCCACCAAUGGGGAAGAUAUUAGAAAGAUAGGAGUGGUGAAUUCAUAGAAGACAUUUUAGAGAAUUGAGUUUAUCAGUUUGAGUCUCGUCACAUUAAACUGAUUUCAGUAUUCCAGAAAAGAAUAACCAGAAUUUGCUAUUAAAAUCAUCCGUCUGUAAUUAUAAGCAAAGAUCUUGGGUUCUGGUUUGACAUCUGAAAAUAAAGACAUUGUAAGACAAAUUUGGUUUCCUCAGAUGGUGGACCAUCAAGCAAUUAUCAUUAGACCCACGAUACAGAGCAUCUAAGAUAUCUGAAUUUUGUUUGCAAAUGAGUAUAGGCCUUGUAAUUCAGAGUUUCAAAAACAUAUCAUUACAUUCGUAAUGUUAUUCAUUUUAGAGAGAGAGAAAAGUAACACAAACACAAAUUCAAAAUUACAAGAUUUUUUACCGUAGGUGAUCCUAUUCUAAAUUUCCCUACCAAAUCAGUGUGUUUUGAGUCUUUUCUUUGAGUUGAAGAGACACAAUCCUUUUAAAGACAAAGAAAUC
RNAcentral lists this long non-coding RNA (1630 nucleotides) under Olea europaea (common olive). RNAcentral describes it as "long non-coding RNA (OEUR_LNC012797)". The record is from RNAcentral. Lineage: Eukaryota; Viridiplantae; Streptophyta; Magnoliopsida; Lamiales; Oleaceae.